AGCCGGUUAGCUCAGCUGGUUAGAGCGUGGUGCUAAUAACGCCAAGGUUGCGGGUUCGAUCCCCGCACUGGCCA
Molecule: transfer RNA, 74 nt
Filed under: Danio rerio (zebrafish)
Lineage: Eukaryota; Metazoa; Chordata; Actinopteri; Cypriniformes; Danionidae
Description: tRNA-Ile (AAT) (tRNA-Ile-AAT-47-1)
Rfam family: tRNA
About the family: Transfer RNA (tRNA) molecules are approximately 80 nucleotides in length. Their secondary structure includes four short double-helical elements and three loops (D, anti-codon, and T loops).
Source: Rfam by way of RNAcentral